This 476-nucleotide ribosomal RNA is filed under the name uncultured bacterium. RNAcentral's name for it is "bacterial SSU rRNA". It matches the Rfam family "Bacterial small subunit ribosomal RNA", at positions 15 to 507 of the family's 1533-position model. The record is from RNAcentral.
GAUCAUGGCUCAGGACGAACGCUGGCGGCGUGCCUAACACAUGCAAGUCGAGCGAGUAAAUCUCCUUCGGGAGUGAAGCUAGCGGCGGACGGGUGAGUAACACGUGGGCAACCUGCCUCAUAGAGGGGAAUAGCCUUCCGAAAGGAAGAUUAAUACCGCAUAAGAUUGUAGCUUCGCAUGAAGUAGCAAUUAAAGGAGCAAUCCGCUAUGAGAUGGGCCCGCGGCGCAUUAGCUAGUUGGUGAGGUAACGGCUCACCAAGGCGACGAUGCGUAGCCGACCUGAGAGGGUGAUCGGCCACAUUGGGACUGAGACACGGCCCAGACUCCUACGGGAGGCAGCAGUGGGGAAUAUUGCACAAUGGGGAAACCCUGAUGCAGCAACGCCGCGUGAGUGAUGACGGCCUUCGGGUUGUAAAGCUCUGUCUUCAGGGACGAUAAUGACGGUACCUGAGGAGGAAGCCACGGCUAACUACGUG